CCACAGAUGUUCCAAGAAAGAUGGUGGGGAUAACAGUAAGCAGAAUUUGGCAUCUGUUGAGAAACUUUGUUUGAGAAGAGAGCUGUUUGCAAGACUCAAGUUUACAGGGAAAGGUGUGAACCUCAUAGACACAUCAUUGUAGACAUGUCCAAGGCCAUGGAUUGUUAUCCAGAAGGUGUCCAGUAUCCUUUGUCUGUUGAGCUGGCAAUGGGAAAUAGGUGGGGUAUAGCAACUACAGAAACUACCUGGCUUUGUCCCCUGGAGUGUAUCCUGCAGAGCAUUCAGGGCUUGACUUCACCAGGAUCCUGGGUUUGUCAGAAUGGAAAGAGAGCUCGGCUGGGAUCAGCUAGCAACAGGGGCUGCGGCAGGCUGAAGAGCAUAAAGGUAAAAACAACAACAACGACAACCCAUGUUAUCAUCUUUGAGAGAGUUAAAAAACAUAUGCCUCCCCUCUAGUACUCCAGACUAUUGAGCUUUAUCAGUUUUUACUGCAAACUACAAAUGCUUUUUGUGUAACGACAGCUCUUUAAUUAGAACUUGGAAGCAACAAUAUCUGCUGAUUAUAGCAUGGUCCAGCAUGCUCAUAUUCCUCAGUUUUAUUUCCAGCUCUGCAACUAAAUUGUUGCAUGCCUCAAGACAAGUGACUUCAUGUCUUAGUGCCUUUACUUCCACAGACAGGCUUAAAACCUCUGCGGGAGAUCCCUGGAGAGAAUCUGCGAUGCCAGCAGAGAAUCUUGGGUUGCUUCUCCAUCCUGUAAACGUUUGGCAACUCUUGUGCCAAUCCAACUGAUAGCAGGUCAGGAUUCGUCUCGUCUAGGCAUACCCCUGUGAGACACUACAGGUUUAAACAAUGGAAAUUUUACAGGCUUCAAUUAACUGCCUGGGCAAGAAACAACAGCUUCACGGUAAUGAGUCCUCACUUGCAUGGAAUGCCAUGUAAUACAUGAUCUCUGUUCACCAAAGAGAGGUACUAAAAUCUGUUCUUCUAGAGAGCAUUUCUAGAGUGACAAAAAAGGGGAGAAUCCUUCUCCAUUUGAAAUCAAUACUGUAUUCUGUUUAUAAAAGGGUUUGUUUCCCAGGAGGGAUAUUAUAUACUCUUAUGGAAAAAAUGAAGCAUUGUAGUUCAAAAAGAGACAUCAGGACUAGUUCUACUGUCUAAAAUCCCUCCCCCCACCUCAAUGGGGGUCUUGUUGUAGAUGAAGAAAGAUGUCAGUGGCUGCUGUGGCAUCGCUCUGUAAAUCUUCAUUUUGGGAUUGCCAGUUUGAACAACAGGAGUAGAAUAUUUAUGUUUACAGGUAGCGACAGCAGCAUGCUGCACAAAUAUCUGUUGAGUCUCAUUUGAAGUCAUUGCAGUCCCUCUUAUUAGGAACUUCAAAUGAAGGCACAGAAAGGUUCUUUAAAGUAGCCCCAAACUCUAGAUCAAACUGAGGCAAAGUCAGAAGUGAAGUACCUAAGAAAAUGGGAGUCAAAUCAUUAUUGAGAAGUGGCAGAAUGGGGAAUAAAUUAAUGUUGUGUAUGCUAAUGGGCA
RNAcentral lists this long non-coding RNA (1528 nucleotides) under Apteryx owenii (little spotted kiwi). RNAcentral's name for it is "lncRNA (ENSAOWG00000004882.1)". The record is from RNAcentral. Lineage: Eukaryota; Metazoa; Chordata; Aves; Apterygiformes; Apterygidae.